UUGGUCCUACGGGGGGCAGCAGUGGGGGAUAUUGCACAAUGGGGGGAACCCUGAUGCAGCGACGCCGCGUGGGUGAAGAAGCGGCUCGGCGCGUACAGCCCUGUCAGCAGGGAAGAAAAUGACGGUACCUGAAGAAGAAGCCCCGGCUAACUACGUGCCAGCAGCCGCGGUAAUACGUAGGGGGCAAGCGUUAUCCGGAUUUACUGGGUGUAAAGGGGGCGCAGACGGCGAUGCAAGCCAGGAGUGAAAGCCCGGGGCCCAACCCCGGGGCUGCUCUUGGAACUGGGUGGC
Molecule: ribosomal RNA, 291 nt
Filed under: uncultured bacterium
Lineage: Bacteria
Description: partial 16S ribosomal RNA
Rfam family: Bacterial small subunit ribosomal RNA
Source: RNAcentral